UACGAAGGUGGCAAGCGUUGUUCGGAUUUACUGGGCGUAAAGGGCGCGUAGGCGGUCGUGACAAGUCACUUGUGAAAUCUCCGGGCUUAACUCGGAACGGUCAAGUGAUACUGUCGGACUAGAGUACAGAAGGGGCAACUGGAAUUCUCGGUGUAGCGGUGAAAUGCGUAGAUAUCGAGAGGAACACCUGCGGCGAAGGCGGGUUGCUGGGCUGAUACUGACGCUGAGGCGCGAAAGCCAGGGGAGCGAACGGG
Molecule: ribosomal RNA, 254 nt
Filed under: uncultured bacterium
Lineage: Bacteria
Description: partial 16S ribosomal RNA
Rfam family: Bacterial small subunit ribosomal RNA
Source: RNAcentral